RNAcentral lists this ribosomal RNA (422 nucleotides) under uncultured bacterium. RNAcentral's name for it is "bacterial SSU rRNA". It matches the Rfam family "Bacterial small subunit ribosomal RNA", at positions 355 to 774 of the family's 1533-position model. The record is from RNAcentral.
UAAGGAAUAUUGGACAAUGGUCGCAAGACUGAUCCAGCCAUGCCGCGUGCAGGAAGACGGCCCUAUGGGUUGUAAACUGCUUUUGUACCAGAGAAAACCUAUCUACGUGUAGAUAGCUGAUAGUAUGGUAAGAAUAAGCAUCGGCUAACUUCGUGCCAGCAGCCGCGGUAAGACGAAGGAUGCAAGCGUUAUCCGGAUUCAUUGGGUUUAAAGGGUGCGUAGGCGGGCUUGUAAGUCAGUGGUGAAAUCUCUCAGCUUAACUGAGAAACUGCCAUUGAUACUGCAGGCCUAGAGUAUAGAUGACNUUGGCGGAAUAUGACAUGUAGUGGUGAAAUACUUAGAUAUGUCAUAGAACACCGAUUGCGAAGGCAGCUAACGAAACUAUAACUGACGCUGAGGCACGAAAGUGCGGGGAUCAAACA